RNAcentral lists this ribosomal RNA (496 nucleotides) under uncultured bacterium. RNAcentral's name for it is "partial 16S ribosomal RNA". It matches the Rfam family "Bacterial small subunit ribosomal RNA", at positions 28 to 506 of the family's 1533-position model. The record is from RNAcentral.
GAUGAACGCUGGCGGCGUGCCUAAUACAUGCAAGUCGAGCGAACGGACGAGAAGCUUGCUUCUCUGAUGUUAGCGGCGGACGGGUGAGUAACACGUGGAUAACCUACCUAUAAGACUGGGAUAACUUCGGGAAACCGGAGCUAAUACCGGAUGAUAUUUUGAACCGCAUGGUUCAAAAGUGAAAGACGGUCUUGCUGUCACUUAUAGAUGGAUCCGCGCUGCAUUAGCUAGUUGGUAAGGUAACGGCUUACCAAGGCAACGAUGCAUAGCCGACCUGAGAGGGUGAUCGGCCACACGGGAACUGGGACACGGUCCAGACUCCUACGGGAGGCAGCAGUAGGGAAUCUUCCGCAAUGGGCGAAAGCCUGACGGAGCAACGCCGCGUGAGUGAUGAAGGUCUUCGGAUCGUAAAACUCUGUUAUUAGGGAAGAACAUAUGUGUAAGUAACUGUGCACAUCUUGACGGUACCUAAGCAGAAAGCCACGGCUAACUACGU